AAAUGAAUUGACGGGGGCCCGCACAAGCAGCGGAGCAUGUGGUUUAAUUCGAAGCAACGCGAAGAACCUUACCUAGACUUGACAUCCCCUGAAUUACCUGUAAUUAGGGAAGCCCUCCGGGGCAGGGAGACAGGUGGUGCAUGGUUGUCGUCAGCUCGUGUCGUGAGAUGUUAGGUUAAGUCCUGCAACGAGCGCAACCCCUAUCAUUAGUUGCUACCAUUAAGUUGAGCACUCUAGUGAGACUGCCCGGGUCAACCGGGAGGAAGGUGGGGAUGACGUCAAAUCAUCAUGCCCCUUAUGUCUAGGGCUACACACGUGCUACAAUGGUGAAUACAGAGAGAUGCAAACCCGCAAGGGUGAGCCAAACUUUAAAAUUCACCUCAGUUCGGAUUGCAGGCUGAAACCCGCCUGCAUGAAGCUGGAGUUGCUAGUAAUCGCGAAUCAGAAUGUCGCGGUGAAUGCGUUCCCGGGCCUUGUACACACCGCCCGU
Molecule: ribosomal RNA, 490 nt
Filed under: uncultured bacterium
Lineage: Bacteria
Description: bacterial SSU rRNA
Rfam family: Bacterial small subunit ribosomal RNA
Source: RNAcentral